CGUUAAAUUUUUGAAGUUAUUUUAGCUUUUUUGUUGGGUGAAAUCAGUAUAAAGAGUUUUUCCUUCUUUAAAAAUUAAUAGGAAUUAAAAAACUCUGAUUUAAAACCAGGAUUAGAUACCCUGUUAUUCUGAGUUAUAUUUAGACAGGGUAGUAAAAGUUGUUCUUCAAACCCAAAGAUUUUGGCGGCACUUUAUCCAAAUAGAGGAGCUUGCCCCUUAAUCGAUAGUCCCCGUUUUAUCUUUCCUCUGUUUGUAGAGCUUGUAUACCGCCGUUGUCAGAUUACUUCUAGAGAAUGUUUUCAAAUUAAAAGAUUUUUUUACUUCAGGUCAAGGUGCAGUUUAUAUAGAGGUGGAGGUGAGCUACAAUUUUCUUUACAAAUAUGGAUACUAAGCCUCGAAGCUGGUUGGAGGUGGAUUUAUUAGUAAAGUAAUCCAAGUUAAAUUAUUUGAAUAAGGCAAUAAAGUGUGU
This 469-nucleotide ribosomal RNA is filed under the name Daphnia longispina. RNAcentral's name for it is "partial 12S ribosomal RNA". The record is from RNAcentral. Lineage: Eukaryota; Metazoa; Arthropoda; Branchiopoda; Diplostraca; Daphniidae.